Molecule: ribosomal RNA, 449 nt
Filed under: uncultured bacterium
Lineage: Bacteria
Description: bacterial SSU rRNA
Rfam family: Bacterial small subunit ribosomal RNA
Source: RNAcentral
UGGGGAAUAUUGCGCAAUGGGCGAAAGCCUGACGCAGCAACGCCGCGUGUGGGAUGACAGCUUUCGGGUUGUAAACCACUUUCAGGGAUGACGAAAAUGACGGUAAUCCCAGAAGAAGCUCCGGCCAACUACGUGCCAGCAGCCGCGGUAACACGUAGGGAGCAAGCGUUGUCCGGAUUUAUUGGGCGUAAAGAGCUCGUAGGCGGUUUCGUAAGUCGGAUGUGAAAACUCAGGGCUCAACCCGGAGACGCCAUCUGAUACUGCGAUGACUAGAGUCCGGUAGAGGAGCAUGGAAUUCCUGGUGUAGCGGUGGAAUGCGCAGAUAUCAGGAGGAACACCAACGGCGAAGGCGGCUCACUGGACCGGUAUUGACGCUGAGUGAGCGAAAGCCAGGGGAGCAAACGGGAUUAGAUACCCCCGUAGUCCCUGAGCGGGCUGGCAAGGCGCAU